Molecule: ribosomal RNA, 368 nt
Filed under: uncultured Glomeromycotina
Lineage: Eukaryota; Fungi; Glomeromycota
Description: LSU rRNA
Source: RNAcentral
UUGAAAGGGAAACGAUUGAAGUCAGUCGUGCUGGCGCGAAAUCAACCUUCUCGUCUUGAGAUCACAUGGCGUGGCGAGCCUCAAAACCGUCACGAAGCGUGAACUCUUGGUGAAAUGGAGCACUUUCGUGUCCGCUGGUUAACAUCAAUUUCGAACGUCAUAAAAAGGCUGGAGGGAUGUGGCUCCUUCGGGAGUGUUAUAACCUUUAGCGGAAUGUGGUGUUCGGGAUUGAGGAUUGCAACGAAUACCUUUAGGGCUGUUCCACCUGGCUUCUCUUUGGUAUCCUGGUGACGACAGCUUGCUGACGUCGUUAGGAUUCGCCUUUGAACAGGCUAGAGUGUGAGCAAAUCGUUAAGGAUGUUGACGUA